GCCCUCGUGGCGGAAUUGGCAGACGCACUAGCUUCAGGAGCUAGUUCCUGUAAGGGAGUGGAGGUUCAAAUCCUCUCGAGGAGA
RNAcentral lists this transfer RNA (84 nucleotides) under Candidatus Omnitrophota bacterium. RNAcentral's name for it is "Candidatus Omnitrophica bacterium tRNA-Leu". It matches the Rfam family "tRNA". From Rfam's summary of the family: Transfer RNA (tRNA) molecules are approximately 80 nucleotides in length. Their secondary structure includes four short double-helical elements and three loops (D, anti-codon, and T loops). The record is from RNAcentral. Lineage: Bacteria; Pseudomonadati; Candidatus Omnitrophota.